Molecule: ribosomal RNA, 468 nt
Filed under: uncultured bacterium
Lineage: Bacteria
Description: partial 16S ribosomal RNA
Rfam family: Bacterial small subunit ribosomal RNA
Source: RNAcentral
GAUGAACGCUGGCGGCGUGCUUAACACAUGCAAGUCGAACGGUGAAGGCGGAGCUUGCUCUGCUGGAUCAGUGGCGAACGGGUGAGUAACACGUGAGCAAUCUGCCCCUGACUCUGGGAUAAGCGCUGGAAACGGCGUCUAAUACUGGAUACGAGCUGCGAAGGCAUCUUCAGCAGCUGGAAAGAACUUCGGUCAGGGAUGAGCUCGCGGCCUAUCAGCUUGUUGGUGAGGUAACGGCUCACCAAGGCGUCGACGGGUAGCCGGCCUGAGAGGGUGACCGGCCACACUGGGACUGAGACACGGACCAGACUCCUACGGGAGGCAGCAGUGGGGAAUAUUGCACAAUGGGCGAAAGCCUGAUGCAGCAACGCCGCGUGAGGGACGACGGCCUUCGGGUUGUAAACCUCUGUUAGCAGGGAAGAAGCGAAAGUGACGGUACCUGCAGAAAAAGCGCCGGCUAACUACGUG